This 940-nucleotide long non-coding RNA is filed under the name Mytilus galloprovincialis (Mediterranean mussel). The record is from RNAcentral. Lineage: Eukaryota; Metazoa; Mollusca; Bivalvia; Mytilida; Mytilidae.
UUGGUUUUAUUUCGUUAACUAGCUGUUUAUCUGACAUAAAUCAGACAUCGCCUUCCAUUCAUACUUAAUGUACGACCUUAUUCAACCCGUUUUGAUUCAAGUAAACUACCCCGGUAUUCUUGUUGUUGCCCUUAACAUAUUUGUGUUAUUCUUGUCGUUACGUUGCUGUUUCAUUGACUUACACCCGACUCUCCUUGGUCGACACACCCGUUUUUAACCCCGUUUUGAGUUCAAGUGGACUCUUUAUUAUGUAACCUUUUAUAUAUUUGUGUUAUUCUUGUCGUUAAGUUGCUAAUUCAUUGACUUAUACCCGACUCUCCUUGGUCGACACACCCGUUUUUAACCCCGUUUUGAGUUCAAGUGGACUUCUUAUUAUGUAACCUUUAAUAUAUUUGUGUUAUUCUUGUCGUUAAGUUGCUAAUUCAUUGUCGUAUAUCUGAUAUUUCCUUUCAUUCAUGCUAGGUCUACGCACCUUGAUUCACCUCAGUUCAAUUACGUAAUUUCAUGUUGCCCUUAUAUAUGGGCAAAUAAUUUGGAAAAUAGAAUUUAUCUUAUCUUAUCUAAUCUUAUUAUGUAUUAGUGUUGUGUCUGUUCUUGAGUUGCUGUUUCAUUUACAUACACCCGACUUCUCUUUUAUUUAUAUUGACCGACGAGUUAUAGUUUCACUCCCUUUUGAGUCAAACAGACUAUUUCUCUGCGAAUAUAAAGAAACUGGAAUAAUUAUUUUCAAAAUGACUCGACACAAACUGACCCCAAGUUUUAUCUGUUAUAAAACUGAAAAAGAGCUUUAUGUAAUUCAAUCAUAAACUAGAUCAGAAUUAUUAACAUCGGAACUGCAUAGGAAUUGAUGUGUCACGUGAUUUAUGUGAAAAUCAUCCACCGAUCAGCUGAUUAAAUCAGGGAUGUAUUUAUGCAACAGAAAUAAUAGUGCAAUCAGGAG